This 253-nucleotide ribosomal RNA is filed under the name uncultured bacterium. RNAcentral describes it as "partial 16S ribosomal RNA". It matches the Rfam family "Bacterial small subunit ribosomal RNA", at positions 524 to 776 of the family's 1533-position model. The record is from RNAcentral.
UACGGGGGGGGCAAGCGUUGUUCGGAAUUACUGGGCGUAAAGGGCUCGUAGGCGGCCAACUAAGUCGGACGUGAAAUCCCCAGGCUCAACCUGGGAACUGCGUCCGAUACUGGAUGGCUUGAAUCCGGGAGAGGGAUGCAGAAUUCCAGGUGUAGCGGUGAAAUGCGCAGAUAUCAGGAGGAACACCGGUGGCGAAGGCGGCUUGCUGGGCCAGUUCUGACGCUGAGGAGCGAAAGCGUGGGGAGCGAACAGG